ACGCUCGACACCUACGAGGCAGCAGUCGGGAAUAUUGCGCAAUGGAGGAAACUCUGACGCAGUGACGCCGCGUGCAGGAAGAAGGUUUUCGGAUUGUAAACUGCUUUAGACAGGGAAGAAAGAAAUGACAGUACCUGUAGAAUAAGCUCCGGCUAACUACGUGCCAACAGCCGCGGUAAUCUGAGCGGGCUGGCAAGGC
RNAcentral lists this ribosomal RNA (199 nucleotides) under uncultured bacterium. RNAcentral describes it as "partial 16S ribosomal RNA". It matches the Rfam family "Bacterial small subunit ribosomal RNA", at positions 326 to 539 of the family's 1533-position model. The record is from RNAcentral.